This is an RNA transcript of Vitis vinifera (wine grape), 1395 nucleotides long. RefSeq lists it as uncharacterized. The record is from RefSeq and is a predicted model, not a curated record. The transcript is spliced from 11 exons. NCBI's taxonomy places the organism in Eukaryota, Viridiplantae, Streptophyta, Magnoliopsida, Vitales, Vitaceae.
AUAUAGGGACACGUAAUCACAGAUUUGGCGGUUGAUAGUGGGGGGAUUUGCAACGCUUUUUCAAAUCAGAGCCUCUCGUUUAAGCAGGAAGGGAUUAUAUCAUAUUAUCACAAACAGAUAGGGAGAGUGGAGAGAGAAAGUGUGGAAUGCCUAUGCCGAUGAGAGCUUUGUCAACGGCAGCCGCCGGAGGUACCAUCCUCUGCAACCACCGCCACCUUCUUUCUCUACAGCAUCCACACCAAUCGCCUCUACCCCGUCCCCACGCUCGAUCCAGGCCCUCAAUCUUCCCCUGUCAACACCCUCUCCCUCGAUCUCUCAAACCUCUACUGCUCCUCACCAGAGCUGCCGAAUCCACUCCCCCUCCAUCCGCCGCUUCUCCUUCUUCCUUGUCGGACAAGACGAUUGUUGUAGAUGAGGAGUUUUCGUUAGCUAAGGUUUCAUUUGGUGUUAUUGGACUGGGUCUUGGAAUUACACUACUCUCAUAUGGUUUUGGGGCAUACUUCAAUAUCCUUCCUGGAUCUGAAUGGUCAGCAAUAAUGCUAACAUAUGGCUUUCCUCUUGCAAUAAUUGGUAUGGCUCUCAAGUAUGCAGAACUGAAACCAGUUCCAUGCUUGACUUACUCAGAUGCUCAAAAGUUAAGAGAAACAAGUGCCACCCCAAUUCUUAAACAGGUCAGGAAUGAUGUUAUAAGAUAUCGUUAUGGGGAUGAACAGCAUCUGGAAGAAGCAUUGAAACGGAUUUUUCAGUAUGGUCUGGGUGGUGGAAUUCCAAGGAGGAGUGCGCCUACUCUACAAAUGAUUCGUGAAGAAGUAACUGAAGAUGGUAAAUACUGUUUAGUGCUGGUGUUUGAGGCAAAAGCCCUGCAGUUGUCAGAUUUUGAAAAAAGACAGGCAAAAUUUGCUUCAUUCUUUGGACCGGGGAUCACAGCUGAAGUUGCAAAGGGAGAGAAUGACCUAUACGAAGUCCGUCUUAUUUCCAACUCAACACCAUAGCCUGGCGUACAGCAUAUUUAGCUCAAAGCACCUGUAGUUGUAGAGCUAAGGUCCUGAAUGGUAAAAGGUUGAAUUCAAAUUUUCCAUUAGCAAGUCCAAUUGCACUGUCAGAUUGAAGACUGAAGCACAAAGUAUAAACUGGUAAAAAUGGAAACUGAACUCAGAGAGAACGAGGUGUAGGCUGUAGCAUUCUAAGUACAGUGGACUCAGUUUCAGGAACUUAACUUUUUAGGUUUUGCACAUAACUUAUUUGUGUCUAUCUUAAACAUAUAUGUUAUUCCAAUUUACUGAACUUUCAAAUUUUAGCUGAACUCAAGGGGAUAGUUGUACAAGAACUAAGUUUAGUUCCCAGCUUUAAGCCAGUAUCUAGGAAAAUGAAGUUAUUCAAAUUGCUUACCAACCA